CUGGCGUCCACAGGUGGGGAGAGAACAGCGCUCCCAGAAGCCGGAUGAAAGGAGUCGCUCCGGGUCACGAGCUUGGCAUUUCCCAGCUCCGCCUCCGUGUCCACUCACCUCCAAGGUCAGCCUCUGCAGAGCCACACAACCCGCGGGAGGGACCCCUCCAGGCCCCAGGGGGCUGGCAAGGAGGACUGGGAUGGGACAGCAGCCACCGUGUGGUACAGAAGUGAAUCCUGUGGCCCCCACCUGUCUGGGAGCGAGUCUGGGCUCUGCCGGUGUGAUGCUGGGUGAGAAAACAGGCCCAGAGAAGGUGGGUCCUUGCCCAGGCUCACACAGCUACGGAGCAGUAGAAGCUGGCAUUUGAAACUGAGCCCCAAGACAGAUUCGUGUUGGCAGAUGUAUAAACUGAAUACUGACCCUCCAGAGAGAUCCACGCCCUAAUCCCGGGAACCCCUGUGAAUGUCACCUCCCGAUGGCAAAGGGAUUCUGCAGAUGGGAAGAAGUGAAGGAUCUUGAGAUGGGAACAUUAUCCCCGAUUAUCCAGGUGGGCCUAAUGUCAUUGCAAGGAUCCUUCUCAGAGGGAGGUGGGAGCGUCAGAGUGGGAAGAAGAGAAUGGACAGCAGAGGGAGGAAAGGCCACGUGAUGUGGGAAUGAAGGCAGCACCCAUUCUAGAAAAGCCAGGAAGGGAAUUUCCCCUAGAACCCCCAGAAGGAAGAGCCCGGCUGACACCUUUCACCCAGUGACACAGACCUCGGACUUCGGACUCCAGAACUGUAAGGUAAUAAAAGCGUGUUGUUUUAAGCUAUGAGGCUCUGGGCCAUUUUUUACAGCAGCCACAGGAAACUAAGAAACAGGCAAAUGAGAUAAUGUCUGAAAAGCCCCUGGCAUACAGUUGGAGCUCACUAAAUGCUCUUUCCUCUUCCAGCUAUAAGUCCCGGGAUCUUCCAGCUCAACCAGCCCAUUUUACUGACGACGUGGAGCCUGAGGCCACAGUUAGGGGUCAACUUGCCCCGUCCCGCCGAGAUGAGUGGCGGGAGGGCGCUGUCUCCUGGCACAUCCUGGGGGUCCUUGCUCUGCUCUUCUGGACUCCAGCCCUGGGCAGCCUGGGCGAAAUCAUCUAGUCCAAACCCAUUUUCCGAGUGAGGAAACUGAGGCCUGGAGUUGUCCGAGAGUUGGACUCGAGUCCCUAAGUGACAGGGGAUGUGCAGGCCCUGAAUCCCCAGGGAGUCCUCUCGGCAAGGCCCUCCCCUCCCCCUCUGGAGCGCCGCUCCUCCCCGUGUAUCCCCAGCAGACAGGGGCCAGCGGGGUCUGGGAAAACCACAUCAGGAGCGGCCCAGCUGUGGUGCAGGAAUUCGAGAGCAGCUCCUUAGUGGCCUUCAGCCUGGGAAAGCUCUGAGGCCUUCCUGUCCCCGCCCGCCUUGCCGCUUAGGGCCAGCCCUGUCCCCAAGGCUGUGAGAAGUCGCCUGGAGGCAGUGUCCAGUGGGGUGGAGGAAAGAGCGGCCUAGAAUGGAGGGACUUGAUCCCCGAUCCUAAGCCAGUUAGUGGCAUUAUCCUGGAUUAUCCUAAACCGAGCUCAGGGCCCUGGGCUUGUCUAGGGGAGCAUAGGUCUCCCUGCCCCCGGCAUGUGGGGGUUCCAGUGGUGCCCUAACACCCAGCGACACAGGCACAGUUCUUACAUAAAGCAUUCACACCCACUGGCACCCUCAGACCUCACAACAACCCUGUAACGGCGAGGCUGCUGCUGUCCCAUUUUACAGAUGGAGAAACUGAGGCUCGGAGAGAGAAAGGGACUCUCCCCAAGUCAAGGUCCUGUGGUGGCAGCACUGGGACUCUGCUAACUCCGUGAGUUCUCGCGAUGACCCUGGACUCGUCUCUGGCAAUUCGGUCCCAGUCUUGCUGUGGGGCCUUGAGUAAUCUCCCUCUCUGAGCCUCGACUCUCCUCUGUGAACUAGGACAUAAUAAUAGUAUCCACCUCAUUGGGGCGCCUGCGGAAUCACCGAGUGCGUGAGCCCCGCGCCUGGCACGCGGUGAGCGCUCCAUCUUCGCUGAGCCUCAUCACCAUCACACUAGCCGAUUGGAUAACCGCAAAUACUACUGCGCGGGGCCAGGAGCCCAGCACAACACGCCCUGCCCCCGGGGCUGGGGGAAGACGCCAAUAAACACACAGGUCCUGCGGGAGGUGAAGGAACGACCACGAGAGCAAGGAGGGGGCUGCCUGGCGUGUUCAAGCAACACUGAAGAGGCCAGUGUGGUCCUAGGGGGUUAGAGACGCGGCAGUGGCAGGAGGAGAAACCAGAGAGGUGGGGGGUGGGGCAGAGCCACCGACCACGGUGGCCUUUGGGCGGACAUCAGCUUUCCUUGAGCCAAGUGGGGAGCCAUCGCAAGGUGUCCUCAUUGUCCACUAAACGCUCAAAGCCUGAAAUGGGCCCUUAGACCCUGGGUCACUGUCUGAGGAGUGGAAUGGCCACCCGCUAGCUAACCACCCUCCUGCGCCCAGGACCCGCCCACGGCCCCGCCCCCUCCCUGCGAUGCUCCAGAACCCUGAGAAUCAGGUGGUCCUAAAGUGUCAGCGCUCAGAGGGACCUUGGAGGCCAUUUGGCUCCAAUUACAGAUGAAGAAAGGAGGCUGGGGCGCGGAGGGGAAGGGGCUUGUCCGGGGCCUCUCAGCGCAUCCGCGGCUGUGCCAGCUGUGACGCCCAAGGCUCCUGCCUCCUGGAGCAGGGCCCCUCCCGCUGCAGAGCCCUCGGUGAACGGGACGUUUUGUUCUUCUGGCCCAGAUCCAAGGAGUCCCCAGGGACACACUCUGGUUUGCCUUUGCCAAAGGCCUCGCCAGCUAAGGGUCCCUUCUAGGCUGUGGGGCUGCAGCCAUGUCUGGCAGAAGCUGCGCCCUCCUGGGGCCGGCCUCCCGCCUGCACCGGCAUUGAGGAGUCCGCGUGCAUGUGAGGAUGGGCACCCUGUGCAGCUCCUCAUCCCAGGCACCCUGCUCCCAGGGCUUCCAUUCCAAGCACAGACAUCGAAACACAAUAAGCAGCCGCUCACUGCCCACUUCCGGGGUCACCCUGUUGGAGCAAGAAGCUCCUGACCUCUCUCCCCACCCCGUGGAUGUUCAUGGUGGUUCUGUAGCUGCCACUACCGGCUCCUCAGCUGCAGUUCAAGGGGAGGGAACACCAGCCAUUCAUACUCUCUGAUCUUGCAUUCAUUCAUCUCUCUAUCUUCUUGCCCAUUGGUCCAUGCAUUCAUCCAUACACCCACCUGCCCAAUUGCCCCACCCACAUAUCUAGCCUUCCAUCCAUCCAUCCAUCCAUCCAUCCAUCCAUCUAUCCAUCCACUGAUCUGAACAGCCACCAGUCUGUCUGAUUGUUACUGGUCCAUCGUCUCAUCCAUCCAACCCGUCCAUCCAGCCAUCCAUCAAUCCAUCC
This is a long non-coding RNA of Equus caballus (horse), 3412 nucleotides long. Lineage: Eukaryota; Metazoa; Chordata; Mammalia; Perissodactyla; Equidae. The record is from Ensembl.